AUGGACGCUGCCUUGCUUGAGGUACUUGUUCAUCAUCACAACAUGGGUGACCAUUCACAAAAUGGAUGGAAAGCACAUGUGUACAGUGCAGCUAUCAAGAAUGUGAAGGAGAAGUGCAAUAAGGAUAUCGCGAAGAACAACAUUUUAGGAAGGCUUAGGACUUUCGACAAUCAAUUUGAAAUCAUUAACAAGAUCCUUUCUCAAAGCGGUUUUGGUUGGGAUUGGGUCAAUAAUAAGCUAUCCAUUGAUAGCGACGAUGUGUGGACUAAAUAUUUGGAGAAGGAGAAAGCAUUAGCUUCUUACAAGACCAAAGUAGUGAAGCACUGGGAAGCCAUCUCUACCAUAUAUUCAAAAGAUCAUGCGGACGGUGAAGGUGCCAAGACAGGUGCUGAGACUGCUGCUGAGAGUGCUGUAGAUCUAGAAGAAACAAUUGAAGUCUCUCCAGAAACGGUACCAAAGAGACAACGAACAGGUGAUUCCAUUAUGUGCAUGAUUGGAGAAAUGAGGACUACUUUCAAGGAUGCUUUGAAGACAACUGGUCCACUCCCAUUGCCAAAGGUUACUACUCCUUCUGAAAUACUUGCUGCACUUGAGUUGAUACCAGAGUUGGCAGAAGUAGACAUGUUGCGCUCUUACGGAAAGUUGAUUCUUAAUGAGCGCUUGUUUUAA
RNAcentral lists this ribosomal RNA (669 nucleotides) under Triticum aestivum (bread wheat). RNAcentral's name for it is "partial small subunit ribosomal RNA". Lineage: Eukaryota; Viridiplantae; Streptophyta; Magnoliopsida; Poales; Poaceae. The record is from RNAcentral.